This 665-nucleotide long non-coding RNA is filed under the name Phoenix dactylifera (date palm). Its description in RNAcentral is "long non-coding RNA (PDAC_LNC019761)". Lineage: Eukaryota; Viridiplantae; Streptophyta; Magnoliopsida; Arecales; Arecaceae. The record is from RNAcentral.
UUUGGGCGUCAAAAGAGGUUCAGCGGACAAUUUCUUCUCUGGAAUUGGAGCGUCUGUGCUGACUAAUUGAGAAGAAGGAACUUCCUCAUCCUUAUCAGCUGGCUGUUUCAUUGAAGUCCUUGCAAGAACAUAUACUGCAUGUUACAGGAUUGUUAAGUUGGAGAACAUGUAACACCAUUAUCUGAAAUAAUGGAAGCUGAUGCUCGUUUCUAAACAAUUUUGAGCAAUUUUUUUUUUCAUCAAAACAUCCAACUAAAGAUAACUUUCUUCGAUGACAAUAAUACUUUGCACAUAUCAACUCUUAGGCUGAUAAAUGUCGAAGAUGUUGAAAGCUGAUAAGUGUUGAAAGCUGCUUGAAGUUAAACAGAAAUAAUAAAUUAGGAAGAUUUAUAUGUUUGUUUCCUCACCCUGCAGACAUCUUGUGUUCUAACUAUAUAACAAAGUCUGGCUCAAAGGAAUAAUGGUGCUCUUCUAGUGUGAAAACCACUUGCAUGCAUAAUACAUUCACACAUACUCAUACAACAAAGCUAGUCUUGAAAUAGUUAUCACUAUGUAAUUGGCAACUUUAGAUCAUCCAAUAUGAGGAUAAACAUCCAUUAAGCUCUUCACACAAGUUUUUAAAAGGUCACAGGAGUGGUUUGCCACUGAUACUGCAUAAGACAAGC